This 563-nucleotide ribosomal RNA is filed under the name uncultured Glomeromycotina. Its description in RNAcentral is "SSU rRNA". It matches the Rfam family "Eukaryotic small subunit ribosomal RNA", at positions 548 to 1114 of the family's 1831-position model. The record is from RNAcentral. Lineage: Eukaryota; Fungi; Glomeromycota.
UUGGAGGGCAAGUCUGGUGCCAGCAGCCGCGGUAAUUCCAGCUCCAAUAGCGUAUAUUAAAGUUGUUGCAGUUAAAAAGCUCGUAGUUGAAUUUCGGGGUUAGUAGGUUGGUCAUGCCACUGGUAUGUACUGGUCUCACUGAUUCCUCCUUCCUGAUGAGCCGUAAUGCCAUUAAUUUGGUGUUGCGAGGAAUCUGGACUGUUACUUUGAAGAAAUUAGAGUGUUUAAAGCAAGCUAACGCUUGAAUACAUUAGCGUGGAAUAAUGAAAUAGGACGUUCGAUCCUAUUUUGUUGGUUUCUAGGAUUGACGUAAUGAUUAAUAGGGAUAGUUGGGGGCAUUAGUAUUCAAUUGUCAGAGGUGAAAUUCUUGGAUUUAUUGAAGACUAACUACUGCGAAAGCAUUUGCCAAGGAUGUUUUCAUUAAUCAAGAACGAAAGUUAGGGGAUCGAGGACGAUCAGAUACCGUCGUAGUCUUAACCAUAAACUAUGCCGACUAGGGAUCGGAUGAUGUUAUUUUUAAUGACUCAUUCGGCGCCUUACGGGAAACCAAAGUGUUUGGGUUC